GAUGAAGAACGCAGCGAAAUGCGAUAAGUAAUGUGAAUUGCAGAAUUCAGUGAAUCAUCGAGUCUUUGAACGCACAUUGCGCCCCCUGGUAUUCCGGGGGGCAUGCCUGUCCGAGCGUCAUUGCUGCCCUCAAGCACGGCUUGUGUGUUGGGCCUCCGUCCUCCUCCCGGGGGACGGGCCCGAAAGGCAGCGGCGGCACCGCGUCCGGUCCUCGAGCGUAUGGGGCUUCGUCACCCGCUCUUGUAGGCCCGGUCGGCGCUUGCCGACACAUCAAUCUUUUUUCCAGGUUGACCUCAGAUCAGGUAGGGAUACCCGCUGAACUUAAGCAUAUCAAUAAGCGGAGGA
RNAcentral lists this unclassified non-coding RNA (345 nucleotides) under soil metagenome. Its description in RNAcentral is "partial contains 5.8S ribosomal RNA, internal transcribed spacer 2, and large subunit ribosomal RNA". The stretch from base 1 to 120 matches the Rfam family "5.8S ribosomal RNA", at positions 35 to 154 of the family's 154-position model. The record is from RNAcentral.